This is a long non-coding RNA of Motacilla alba alba, 1405 nucleotides long. RefSeq lists it as uncharacterized. Lineage: Eukaryota; Metazoa; Chordata; Aves; Passeriformes; Motacillidae. The record is from RefSeq and is a predicted model, not a curated record. The transcript has 2 exons.
GCCCGGAGCCCGCCCGGAGCCCGCCCGGCCCUCUGCGGAUCGGGGCGGCCCCGGGGAUCGCCCUCCUUGCCUCCAGCUCUCCUGCUUCCCGCCUCCGCGGCGCAUCCCGUACGAGGAGGCUGUCGUGCAGGAAUUCGGGCCGGCUCGAGUGGGAGAAUCUUUCGGGCCCACGAGGCUCCCAUUCCAGACCUGCCUGCUGUGCAGUGGCUGCCAAGGACUCGUGGCCCCUCGGGGCUGUGACUCCCACCCCGGCUCCAGGUCCCCCUCCAGCCCUGCUCCCCGGCGUCUCUCUGUGGCAGGGCAGGAGCUGUGGUGGCAGGAGAGCCUGGAACUAGGUGAUAUUUAAGGUCCCUUCCAACCCAGGCUGUUGUAUGGUUCUGUGAACCUGCUGUCUCUAGACACAGUGAGUCCCUGGAGGGGCUGAAGUCGUGGCAGAGCCCUGCUCGUGGCUCCCUAUCCAGGGACGAUGGAAGCCACUCCAGGUGGGCAGGACUGGCAGCAUGGAUUUUUGCUAGCAGAGCCACCUCCUGUUUAGGAGACACGGUGGAGUGGUGGCUGUCGUGGCUUACAAAGUCUGUGCUGAUUCCUUUAUGUUUAAAUUCAGAAUCUUCCCCCGCGUUUUAAAUAUCUGCCAGCGUUAAAUUUCUCUACUUAAAAAAAUAUAUAUCCCAUAUGUGGAGUGCUGGAGUGAAAUGCACAGAGACCCCCCAGUCCCUCCUCCUCCUCUUGCCCACAUGCACACACACGCAGAGCAGCUCUGUCGAAUACUGGCUUGGUAUUUCCCAUGAUGUUUUCUCCAAGACAGAAAGGGAAAAAUACAUCAGCACAAUCAGCCCCAGCUGAGUUGCUCAGCAACACUUCCCAAAAGCGAAGAUCCUUGGAGCUGGAAGACAAGGUGGAUAAAAAUUACCCACCAGGAAAAAAGCCAAACAUUAAAAAAAAUUAAAAUUAUAUACUCUAUAUUUAUAUUUCUUUCAGGCUGCUUAUACCUCAGUUGUUUAACCCCCAAACACACAGGCUGCCUCUGCUGUUUCCUCUUCCCAGCCUUAGAAAAGGGGUUGGAUUAUACCUCCCUCUUCCCUCCUCCCCUCUCCCACCCCAAAACUUGCAACAGUGCCUCUCAGAGCAGGAACACGGCUGUGGGUGAGCGAGUGUCUUCCUCCAGUUAAGAACAAAGACAUUAUUUUUUUUAUUUACAAAAAAAGGAGAAAAAAGUUUCCACACAAAAGCACUACAAUGAUAACUCCCUUUGGUAAAAAGUGUAAUAAAUGUCUCCAUCGGUCUGUCUGUCGGUACUAAUUCUCAAGCCACCUGGUACUAUGGUACACAAGAAGCUAGUACAGUUAUGCUAGCACAUCAAGCAUAAUUCCUUUAAUUAAAAAAAAAACAACAAAACAAAACAAAA